Molecule: ribosomal RNA, 120 nt
Organism: Sphaeramia orbicularis (orbiculate cardinalfish)
Lineage: Eukaryota; Metazoa; Chordata; Actinopteri; Kurtiformes; Apogonidae
Source: Ensembl
GCUUACGGCCAUACCACCCUGAACACGCCCGGUCUCGUCUGAUCUCGGAAGCAAAACAGGGUCGGGCCUGGUCAGUACUCGGGUGGAAGACCCCCUUGGGAAUACCAGGUGCCGUAAGCU